CGCGUAGGCGGCCCAUUAAGUCAGAUGUGAAAUCCCGGGGCUUAACCCCGGAAGUGCAUUUGAAACUAUUGGGCUUGAGUAUGGGAGAGGGAAGUGGAAUUCCUGGUGUAGAGGUGAAAUUCGUAGAUAUCAGGAGGAACAUCGGUGGCGAAGGCGACUUCCUGGACCAAUACUGACGCUGAGGCGCGAAGGCGUGGGGAGCAAACA
Molecule: ribosomal RNA, 207 nt
Filed under: uncultured bacterium
Lineage: Bacteria
Description: partial 16S ribosomal RNA
Rfam family: Bacterial small subunit ribosomal RNA
Source: RNAcentral